GGGCCUCUAGCUCAAUUGGCAGAGCAGCGGACUUUUAAUCCGCGGGUUGUGGGUUCGAGUCCCACGGGGCCCACCU
This 76-nucleotide transfer RNA is filed under the name Microlunatus elymi. RNAcentral's name for it is "Microlunatus sp. KUDC0627 tRNA-Lys". It matches the Rfam family "tRNA". From Rfam's summary of the family: Transfer RNA (tRNA) molecules are approximately 80 nucleotides in length. The record is from RNAcentral. Lineage: Bacteria; Bacillati; Actinomycetota; Actinomycetes; Propionibacteriales; Propionibacteriaceae.